RNAcentral lists this unclassified non-coding RNA (1478 nucleotides) under Hevea brasiliensis (rubber tree). The record is from RNAcentral. Lineage: Eukaryota; Viridiplantae; Streptophyta; Magnoliopsida; Malpighiales; Euphorbiaceae.
GAAGUGACAUAAUCUGUUUUCUGUCUUUCUUUUAUCUCCGCUUCUAUCAUAUGUGAUGCCUAAAUAAGAUUGCUUUCACAUGUGUGCAUGGGUUUGUUGUCAUUUAUGUGCAUUUUAGGAAUGCUUUCAAACAAAGGAAUUGGAUGUGGAACUACUCAGAAUUUAUUUUAUAUGGUGUUUUAUGUUUUUCAGAUAGAUUCUGAGUUUUGUUAUUCUGGUUUAUGAUCAUUGUGCUUUGUAUACCUUAAGCUGGGAUUGGGAAUUGAGAUGAGUUCCCAGUUUUUGUACCUUCAUGACAGGAGACAUAGAGAAGAAUUUAAGGUAGUGACAAUGUGAUUGUUUGGUAUAAAUGACUAUCCCAUAGACAACUUCUGAUACAAAAGAAUGCUCUAGCUAUUUCCCUUGUAAAGUUUAAACUAUCUCUGGUGUUAAUAUUUUUAUCCAAAAAAAAAAAACUCUGUUGUUAAUACUGCUCUUGCACUGAGUCCAACGAAUAGGAUUGAGGAUACUGGUUUUGAUGCUACUUCACCUUCACUGAUCAAGUUUCUGGCAAGAAAAUGACAAGUGAAGAAAAUCUAAUUGUUAUCAGCUUCUAUGAGCGAAACAAAUCUAACUUAAAACACAAAGGGAUGCCUAUCAGUGUGAUCUACUGUGCAAAAGUCUAAUGAUUAUCAUUCAUUACUUCUCAAAAUUUUGGAUAGAGUAAAGGCUUUAACAGUAUAUUGAGAUCAUAAAUAAAAGUAUUUAUCGUAUAUGUUCAUCAUGGGUCACGAUGAUACUUCAAUUUUAUGGAAAAAAAGGUAACCUCUUAUGUCCCCCUUAACUUUUCUUUACAGGGUUCUUAUUAUUGGAUGAUGCAUAUAGUAUUGCUCAGUAUGCAUUAGAUUUUUAAGCCACUGAUGUAUAGUAAGCCUACCUCUUCAUAUGGAGAAGGUAGCUUGCAAUGUUCUGUUUCCCAUUCCUUUGGCAUAGUGAUUCAAAACUUAAGGUAACUUGGCUAUUUAAUUUAAUUUGAAAGCUAGAGUUGGUAACUGUGCUAGUAAUUUGUUACUGGAGUUUGAAACAUAAGUGUUUAAUCUCUGAAGUACAAUAUUUAGAUAUUUUUAUUGAGCAUGGAAAUUAGUUCCAACUGUUGCUGCUGCUGUUCAAGGUUUGACUAUGCCACUAUUGGGAUGUCUUUUUUCCAUGUCCUCUGAGUUGUCGUCACAUUUAUAAUGUUUUGAAAGUAAUGUGUUUAACCCUGGCCUGUUUAAGUUUUGCAACUGUUGACCAAUCCUCUUUUUAGGAGUUUAAUGACUUGUAUCAUUAACAAAUUGAUUGCAGUGGCACUGCCCAAUUCUUAUGCAUGCCAGGUUUCUUCUCCACCAAUUGAUUUGUUAAUGAUUUCUUUUUUGUUAUUUCCUCUCAUUAAUAUGCUCAUAUAUUUUCUUUUAUAUAUGGGUUCUCUCUCUGGGCUUAUUAUUAUUAUUAUUAUUAUU